This 345-nucleotide long non-coding RNA is filed under the name Mus pahari (shrew mouse). RNAcentral's name for it is "lncRNA (MGP_PahariEiJ_G0002726.1)". The record is from RNAcentral. Lineage: Eukaryota; Metazoa; Chordata; Mammalia; Rodentia; Muridae.
UGACUUCACCAGGAGGUUCUCCCUAAAUAGGUACUCUUCGGGCUCCGGAGCAGUAGUUCCCGGAUCCCACAAAAUCCUGGGAGAAGGCGGAGGGCGAGCUGCUAGGGCACUAAUGCAGAGCCAUGGUCAGAGGUAGGACUGGGGUCCACGAUGCCUCCUUUCUUUGCUGCGAUGGUAGAGAGCAAACGGUGGAAGCUUCUCUUAAGAUUCGUUCCUGUGGGCUUCGAUAAGAAGGACAGCCUCCGAGACCAACGCAAGGUAAUGAAUGCAUCCUGAGCGCUUAGUCAGGAUAUGCCGCCGUGUCCCCGCAAACAACAACUACUGAAACAAAAAACAAAACAAAAC